GGACGAACGCUGGCGGCGUGCUUAACACAUGCAAGUCGAACGGGGAUACGAAACGGAAGGUUCGGCCGGAAGGGACGUAUUCGAGUGGCGGACGGGUGAGUAACGCGUGAGCAAUCUGUCCCAGACAGGGGGAUAACACUUGGAAACAGGUGCUAGUACCGCAUAAGACCACGAUACCACAUGGUAACGGGGUAAAAGGUGCAAACCGGUUUGGGUGAGCUCGCGUCCGAUUAGAUAGUUGGUGAGGUAACGGCCCACCAAGUCGACGAUCGGUAGCCGGACUGAGAGGUUGAACGGCCACAUUGGAACUGAGAGACGGUCCAAACUCCUACGGGAGGCAGCAGUGGGGAAUAUUGGGCAAUGGGCGAAAGCCUGAACCCCCAGCAACGCCGCGUGAGUGAAGAAGGCCUUCGGGUUGUAAAGCUCUGUUAUAGGUGACGAAGGAAGUGACGGUAGCCUAUAAGGAAGCCCCGGCUAACUACGUGCCAGCCGCUGC
RNAcentral lists this ribosomal RNA (496 nucleotides) under uncultured bacterium. Its description in RNAcentral is "bacterial SSU rRNA". It matches the Rfam family "Bacterial small subunit ribosomal RNA", at positions 27 to 518 of the family's 1533-position model. The record is from RNAcentral.